AGAGCAUUCCCAGAAGCGGGGCCAGGGCAGUGCGCACAGUGAGGAGAGCAGGUGUGUGUGAGUUGAGGAAACUGGGCCCUGAGACAUUAACUUGCCCAAAAGAUCACAGUGGGCAACAUUCUAGAGCACAGUGGAAGCCGACAGCAAUGUCAGUGAAGAUGGAAAACAGAACGUGGAGAGAGAUGUAGCUUACUAGAGCCCUGUGGCUUCAAUCCCCACCAGGAAUGUCGUUUAAGAGGAAGAGAAGCAGCCUCGGGGAGCGGGCGGGGCUGGGGAAUCCCUGGCCUCCCUCCUUUCCUUCUGGCUGAUCUUCUGCAGAAGACCUCACAAAAGGGAGCUGAGGGGCCAGGAAGCCUGUGGAUGCCCUGAAGAAGAAUGAGUAGAUCUGAAAGGGCAGUAGAACAGAACCAGAAUCCAGUGCAAAGGCCCUGGGGCAGGAGUUCGCAGGAGAAGCGGGGAGAAGGAACCAGCCUAUGAUCCAGGAAUGCAGUGAACAAGAUUUGGGAAGUUGACAGAGAAUAUGAGGCCUCCUCUCCAAACAGAAACUCCAGGACGCUUGGUUGAGUCACUGACACAUGCACAGUGCUGAGCAUAGUACCAGACACCAGAGUCUGUGUUCCAGAAAUGGAAGAAUAGGACAUAUCACACACCAACCGUGUGCAAAGCACUCUACCUAAAGAUCAGCGCUAACAGAGGAAUAAGCAGAGGCCUCCAGGAGCAAAGAGUGAAAAGUCUCCCAAGGAUUCAAGUACGGGGGAAGUGGGUGGAGCUUUCACCGUAGAAUCUUUCCUGGAGAAAAAGCAAAGAGUGGGACAACAAUGAAGGCAUUAAAAAUAACUGUCAAGUUGAAGAAAAAGUAUUUUGCCAAAGACUAAGGAUUCGGAGAUGACUACGGAAAGGAAAACUAAGCUCCAUGAGAAGAGGGGACUUGCCCAUGUGGCUCAGGGCUCUAUGCCCAGUGCCCUAGACAGUGCCUGACUGUGUGUGCGGAAUGAAUGAAUAACCUUGGUGAUCCACCCAAUGGCACUGGCGCUCAGUGACCUCAUCUGAAAUGGAAUAAGGAUUUUAUGAAAAUGCAUGUUUGUUGAAUAACACAAAGGAGAAUAUUAUCUAAUGUGGCUUGGGGUCAAUAUCAAGCAGUAAUAUUGUUUUAGUAUUAAUUAGAGCCGUGUCAUUGCAAGAGCUGGUAAGAAUACUGGUCUUGUUUCCAACUGAUGAAAACACUCAUACAGAUUAGGGUUUUUAUGAGUAAAUUUCAGAUCUUGAAAUCAGUGCUGUGAUCCACUCUCAUAGGGUGAAUAUCUGUCCAAAUGGUAUAUCAGAAAGGAAAAAAGCCAAUGUCAUUACAUAGAAGUGUUAAACAAUGAUCUCUAAAGAAAAGUUUCAUUCUUAAAAAGCAUUUGAACUUCAAAGCCCAACAAUGACAUAGAUUCACAUAUCCCAAAGGUUAAGAAAAUUCCUCUCAUCUAAAAACAAUGCAAAACCUACAAAAUCACUUCAAAUUCUGCUACCAUCAAGAUUUGCAUAGUUUUUUGAAAACUAAAAUAACAUAUUCAGAAAAAUGAACAAGUCCUAAGUGAAAUACUUAGUGAAUUAUCAUAAAGUGAGCCCAGCUAUAUAGUCAUCACACAGGUUAAAAUUAAAAUUAAGGCUGGGCGUGGUGGCUCACACCUGUAAUCCUGGCACUUUGGGAGGCCGAGGAGGGCAGAUCACCUGAGGUCAGGAGUUCGAGACCAGCCUGGCCAACAUGGCGAAACCCCAUCUCUACUAAAAAUACAAAAAUUAGCUGGGUGUGGUGGCACACGCCUGUAAUCCCAGCUACUUGGGAGGCUGAGGCAGGAGAAUCGCUUGAACCUGGGGAUGGAGCAGAGGUUUCAGUGAGCAAAGAUUGUGCCACUGCGCUCCAGCCUGGGAGACAGAUUGAGACUCCAUCUCAAAAAAAAAAAAACAAAAACAAACAAACAAAAAUUAAAAUUAAAUUAUUAGCAGCAUCCCAAAGUCUUCCUUGGGGCCUGCCCCAGUCUCUGUUCUACCCUCCCUACCAGAGUUAACCACCAUCUGAAUUGGUAAGAGCCUACAUUAAUUUUUGCCUGUUUUUGAACUUGGUAUAAUUGGAAUCCUAUAGUAUGUAUUAUUUUGUGUAUGUCUUCUUUUGCUCAAUACUGAGAGUAAUUUCAUUUUCAUCACUCUAUAGUACUUCACUAUAUAAACGUGCCACUAUUCUUUUUUUUUUUUUAAGACAGAGUCUUGCUCUGUUGCCCAGUCUGGAGUGCAGUGGCAUGAUCUUGGCUCACUGGAACAUUCGCCUCCAGGGUUCAAGCGAUCCUCCUACCUCAGCCUCCCUAGUAGGUGGGGCUACAAGCAUGCUAAUUACUACCUAAUUACUACCAAGCCCAGCUAUUUUGUAUUUUUAGUAGAGAUGGGGGUUCGCCACAUUGGCCAGGCUGGUCUUGAGCUCCUGGCCUCAAGUAAUCUGCCUGCCUUGGCCUCCCAAAGUGCUGGGAUUACAGGCGUGAGCCACCACACCCAGCCCCACUAUUCUCAUUUUAGUGUUCAUGAACAUUUCAUAGUUUCCUGUCUGGUGCUAUUAUAAAUAACGCUGAUGUGAGCACUCUAGUACUAGUCUUUUGUUUCCACCUACAUGCAUUUCUCUUGGGUGUAUUGCUAGGGGUA
This 2673-nucleotide long non-coding RNA is filed under the name Homo sapiens (human). RNAcentral describes it as "HSALNT0405820". Lineage: Eukaryota; Metazoa; Chordata; Mammalia; Primates; Hominidae. The record is from RNAcentral.